This is a long non-coding RNA of Macrobrachium nipponense, 4468 nucleotides long. RefSeq lists it as uncharacterized. The record is from RefSeq and is a predicted model, not a curated record. The transcript has 2 exons. Lineage: Eukaryota; Metazoa; Arthropoda; Malacostraca; Decapoda; Palaemonidae.
UAUGUGUGAAUAUUAAAAAAUGUUAUACAUACUAUAGUCAGUUCACUUACAGUAGAUUCUUGUGCCUACCAGACGUUUGUUUGGCGGCCUCUGAUUGGCUGGUACCGGGAGGUAAGCAGCUCACUCAGUAUCUCAUUAUUUUUUUCUGUGGCUUAGAAAACCAGCAAUAUGUGUACGUAUAUUUCUUCAAUCAUCUCUCACUUUGCUCAAGAUGGGAAAGUUUUGGUCAUACGGUAGGAUUCAGUCUUAAUUGAACAAUUAAGUCAUCUUUUCCUGAAUCCAAUAAGAUAAAACACAGAGGUAUUACAAUGAGUAAAAGUGUAGAGAGAAGCAUUUAAUUCUUUAUACCUGUUUUUACUUAUCAGAUUUUGCAUCAUUAACGUGAUCAAGGUAAGAUAAAACUUUUGUUUUCAUACAACAAAUUCACCCCUGAAUACGCUGUUGCCUUCGGAAGAGAAAAUGAACAAUAUGUCUUAUUGUGUUGCAUCCAUAAAUGAUUCAAGUUUGAAGGUAUUGCCGAGAGAAUGUGAUCUGCAAGACAUCGUUGCAUUUGUCGUCUCAGCAAGAGAUUUGAGUUGCCAAUUAACUAUGUAAGAGGUUGCAGUUUCGACAAUAUUUACCAUGUUAUAUCAUUACAUUUUUUGUAAAUAAAUACACAGAAUUCCCAUGAUGACUGUUGAACAUUUUCAAUCCAAUAUCACAUACAGGCAGUCCCCGGCUUACGAAGGGGGUGCCGCCCUUGAGAUGAGCCAGAAAUUUGUAAAAAAUCUUAAGAAAACAUUACUUUUAAUGCUUUGGGUGUAUUAAAAACUAUGUAAACUGCAUUUUUAUUGCAUUUUUCAUUAAAAAAACUUCAAAUAUUGAUUAUUUUGCAUUUUUAGUCAUAUUUCUUCUGUCAGAUUGUCAUCAUAAGUGGCAAAACCCUGGAACGUGUCAUAAACCUGGAAAUAAUUUCUGAUGAAUAUAACUGAAAAGCAUCGUAACCUCGGAACGUUGUAAGCCGGGGACUGCCUGUAGUAUGUCUGGACGUAUCUGAUAAAGAAAAAGAUAAUAAUAAUCAGAUGAAUGCAUCAGGUAUCGUUAGCUCAGAUCUAGGCUGGCCUCAGGGAAUUCAGUCCAGCAAAGAAGUUAAACUCGGUGGACAGACGUCGCACUCUUCAACUCAGCCUAAGCUUCAAUAUGUUAUUUCAGAAUAUUGUUUCUAAUUUUAUUAUAUGAAUAUAUCUUCAAACAAAAGAGAUAUCAGAGACUUAUUUGAUUGAUAUGAAAUAAUAAUCUCGGUGAAUUAAUAAAAAAAAUUAAGAAAGAUUUACUUCCUUUCAGGCUGAGUCAACAUGGUAAGAAUAUUCUUCAUUUUCUCUUCACAUAUUACAUGCAUCUAAAAUCUGAAAGCACCAGCGUAUUCAGGGUGAUUUUAUUGUAUGAAAACACAUGUUUUAUUUUAUCUUAAUUGCAUGAAUUAGCAAAAUCUGAUGAAAAUAAAAAUAUAUAAAGAAUAUGAGGUAAAUGAAGAAAUAUAAAUAUAUUCCUAGUUUUCUAAGCUACAAACAAAAAUAUGACACACUGAGCACGCAGCCUACCUCCAGGUACAGCUAAUCAGAGGCCACCAAACAAACGUCUCAUAGCUACAAGAAUCUACCUUAAAUGACCUUAAAACUCUUAUGCCGACUGGACGUAUUUUACGUUGACAUUUUUUGUCUCACGUGUGCCGACUGGACGUAUUUUACGUCGACUUACAAAAGUUUUUUUUAAAAUUCGCGGAAAAAUACUUAUAGGCCUACCAGCCUAAAACUUUUGAAUCACGCGCCUUUGGGGAUGCUGGGAGUUCACGGAUCAAGGUGUUGUUUUCUUUACAAUCGUUACGCAGGCGCGCAAGCGCAAAUUUCUUUCUUGCCGCACUAAAAAGUAUCUGUGACACAUCUCUGAAAUUAUUUCGUCACUUUGACAUAAUUUUUGUACCAUUGUAAAUUAGCCGUUACAUGAAGUAUUAUAUAUGAAAAUAUGCACAUUUUUAUGUAGAAUACAACAAUAAAAUACUCAUGAUUGUAGCUUUUAUCAAUUUUGAGAUAUUUUCAUAUAAAUAACGAUAAUUGCCAAAAUUUCAACCUUCGGUCAACUUUGACUCUACCGAAAUGGUCGAAAAACGCAAUUGUAAGCUAAAACUCUUAUGUUUUAGUAAUAUUCAAUCAUUUACCUUAAUUUUGCAACUAGUAAUUGGAAGUCUCUAGCACAAUAUUUCGAUUUAUGGUGAAUUUAUGAAAAAACUUUUUCCUUACGUCUGGGCGGUAACUCUUCCGAAAAAAAUCAUACAUGCGAUUGUGGUAAUGUUUGCACCAUUUUAAAAUUAGCCGUUAUAUAAAGUUUUAUAUAUGGAAAUGUGUGCAAUUUCAUGCACAAUACAACUAAAAACAACCCAUGGUUGUACCUUUUAUCAGUUUUGAGAUAUUUUCAUAUAAAUAACGAUAAUUGCCAAAAUUUCAACCUUUGGUCAACUUUGACUCUACCGAAAUGGUCGAAAAACGCAAUUGUAAGCUAAAACGCUUAUAUUCUAGUAAUAUUCAAGCAUUUACCUUCAUUUUGCAACAAAUUGGAAGUCUCUAGCACAAUAUUUUGAUUUAUGGUGAAUUUAUGAAAAAAAUAACAUUUUCUUUACGUCCGCGCGGUAACUUCCGAAAAAAUCAUACGUGCGAUUGUGGUAAUGUUUGCACCAUUUAAAAUUAGCCGUUGCAUAAAGUUUUAUAUAUGAAAAUGUGCGCAAUUUCACGUAGAAUACAACAAAAAAUAAAUGAAGAUUGUAGCUUUUCUCAUUUUUGAAAUAUUUGCAUAUAAAUCACGAUAAAUAGAAAAAAACCACGUUCGGUCAAAUUUGACUACCGAAAUGGUCGAAAAACGCAAUUGUAAGCUAAAACUCUUACAGUCUAGUAAUAUUCAGUCAUUUAUCUUCAUCUUGAAACAAAUUUGAAGUCUAGCAAAAUAUUUAGAUUUAUGGUGAAUUUAAAAAAAAUCUUUCCUUCCCUCCGCGCGCGGAUUCUCCGCCACAAAUCUCUGAAAUGCGUACGUACCAUUCUCGGAAUAUUUGCUCCGUUUCAUAUCAGGCAUUUCAUAGAGUUUUAUAUAUGAAAAUGUGCGCAAUUUCAUGUAGAAUAAAACGAAAAAUAUUUGAAGGUUGUAGCUUUUCUUAUUUUCGAAAUAAUUGCAUAGAAAAAAUAUAUAUAUAAAAAAAUUCGACAUUCGGUCAAAUUUAACUCGUCAGAUAUGGUCGAAAACUGCAAUUGUAAGCUAAUACUCUUACAGUAUAGUAAUAUUCAAUCAUUUGUCUUCAUUUGAAAGAAAUUGGAAGUCUCUAGGACAAUAUUUAGAUUUAUGGUGAAUUUUUGAAAAAAAUAUUUGUUUACGUCUGCGCGUUACGAAUUCAUGCAUUAUUUUGUGAUAAUAUUUUCUCUGUGUUGCUUUUAUCGUUUUACAAUGUGUUAUAUACCAAAAUGAUUGCAAUUUAGUGUACAUUACAACGAAAAAAAAGUAACUUGUUACCUUUAACCGUUUUGCGCACAGCGUGAUUUGAAUACAAUUAUAUAUGAAAUUUUGUUUUUGCGCUAUCAUAUAUCGCAUUAUUUAUAUAUGAUAAUGAUAAUUUUUUUCAUUUCUGAUGGUUGUAUACUAAACUUCAGCCAAUGACGAAAAAAGGAGCCAAAAAUGAACUCUUAAUCUUGAAAACUAAGCGCGCUGUGAUUUUUUGAAAAACAUAUUUUUUCCGCUUCCGCACUCACUCUGAAACACCUCCGGCACACGGGAGACAAUUUUUUUUUUUUUACCGCUUCGGCGUAAGAGGGUUAAGUGAAUCGACGAUAGUAUGUACAAUAUCCGUAAAUAUGGUAGGGUGAGGUGGGGUAGUACCGUACAUGGGGAAACAACGUACACGUGCUCUUGAUAAAAAAACUAUCGGCUGUAUUGUGACGUCACUCCAUUUGAGGAAGAAGAGCAUCAACAACAACUCCGCCAUUUGCUUUUGCUGAUCCCGUUUACCAGAAUCCACCAACACUCUUCCAUCAAGCUAAGGAAAUAUGUGCGAACCAGUAAGAAAACAACUGGACCGAAGUAAUUUAGAGGCAGUCUUUAAACAUUGUCUUGCCACUGAGUGUAGUUUGAAAGAAGCCUGUGAUCAGUUCAAUGUCAAGAAGAUGAGCCCUGUUCAUUAUGUUUGUAAGAUGAACAUCAAGGAAGGGAAAUAAGAGGUGUCCUUCCUCUGCAUGAAGUCUUUUUGUUUCCCAAGGACACAUUCUUAUUCCCUGCUGUUGAAAAUGUGGAGGUUGUGCAAUGUAAGGGUGUCCUGACCAAUGUGGAGGCCUGCACCCUCAUAAAGGUCUCCCCUCCACUGAACUUCAAUAUGUAAUAGGGUAGGAUGUAAAUAAUCUGUACAAAGAACGUAUAUAUUUUUUAUUUAUUUUUGUACAAUAAAUGUAAAUUUGUA